This 379-nucleotide ribosomal RNA is filed under the name uncultured bacterium. RNAcentral's name for it is "bacterial SSU rRNA". It matches the Rfam family "Bacterial small subunit ribosomal RNA", at positions 523 to 898 of the family's 1533-position model. The record is from RNAcentral.
AUACGUAGGGUGCGAGCGUUGUCCGGAAUUAUUGGGCGUAAAGAGCUCGUAGGCGGUGUGUCACGUCGGCCGUGAAAACCUGGGGCUUAACUCUGGGCGUGCGGUCGAUACGGGCAUCACUAGAGUUCGGCAGGGGAGACUGGAAUUCCUGGUGUAGCGGUGAAAUGCGCAGAUAUCAGGAGGAACACCGGUGGCGAAGGCGGGUCUCUGGGCCGAUACUGACGCUGAGGAGCGAAAGCAUGGGUAGCGAACAGGAUUAGAUACCCUGGUAGUCCAUGCCGUAAACGUUGGGCGCUAGGUGUGGGGUCCAUUCCACGGGUUCCGUGCCGCAGCUAACGCAUUAAGCGCCCCGCCUGGGGAGUACGGCCGCAAGGCUAAA